UUAACACAUGCAAGUCGAACGAUGAAGCCCUUCGGGGUGGAUUAGUGGCGAACGGGUGAGCAACACGUGGGCAAUCUGCCCUUCACUCUGGGACAAGCCCUGGAAACGGGGUCUAAUACCGGAUAACACUCUGUCCCGCAUGGGACGGGGUUAAAAGCUCCGGCGGUGAAGGAUGAGCCCGCGGCCUAUCAGCUUGUUGGUGGGGUAAUGGCCUACCAAGGCGACGACGGGUAGCCGGCCUGAGAGGGCGACCGGCCACACUGGGACUGAGACACGGCCCAGACUCCUACGGGAGGCAGCAGUGGGGAAUAUUGCACAAUGGGCGAAAGCCUGAUGCAGCGACGCCGCGUGAGGGAUGACGGCCUUCGGGUUGUAAACCUCUUUCAGCAGGGAAGAAGCGAAAGUGACGGUACCUGCAGAAGAAGCGCCGGCUAACUACGUGCCAGCAGCCGCGGUAAUACGUAGGGCGCAAGCGUUGUCCGGAAUUAUUGGGCGUAAAGAGCUCGUAGGCGGCUUGUCACGUCGGAUGUGAAAGCCCGGGGCUUAACCCCGGGUCUGCAUUCGAUACGGGCUAGCUAGAGUGUGGUAGGGGAGAUCGGAAUUCCUGGUGUAGCGGUGAAAUGCGCAGAUAUCAGGAGGAACACCGGUGGCGAAGGCGGAUCUCUGGGCCAUUACUGACGCUGAGGAGCGAAAGCGUGGGGAGCG
RNAcentral lists this ribosomal RNA (705 nucleotides) under Streptomyces sp. YIM 56149. RNAcentral describes it as "bacterial SSU rRNA". It matches the Rfam family "Bacterial small subunit ribosomal RNA", at positions 48 to 770 of the family's 1533-position model. The record is from RNAcentral. Lineage: Bacteria; Bacillati; Actinomycetota; Actinomycetes; Kitasatosporales; Streptomycetaceae.